UGGGGAAUAUUGCACAAUGGGCGCAAGCCUGAUGCAGCCAUGCCGCGUGUGUGAAGAAGGCCUUCGGGUUGUAAAGCACUUUCAGCGAGGAGGAAGGUGGUGAGCUUAAUACGCUCAUCAAUUGACGUUACUCGCAGAAGGAGCACCGGCUAACUCCGUGCCAGCAGCCGCGGUAAUACGGAGGGUGCAAGCGUUAAUCGGAAUUACUGGGCGUAAAGCGCACGCAGCGGUUUGUUAAGUCAGAUGUGAAAUCCCCGGGCUCAACCUGGGAACUGCAUUUGAAACUGGCAAGCUAGAGUCUCGUAGAGGGGGGUAGAAUUCCAGGUGUAGCGGUGAAAUGCGUAGAGAUCUGGAGGAAUACCGGUGGCGAAGGCGGCCCCCUGGACGAAGACUGACGCUCAGGUGCGAAAGCGUGGGGAGCAAAACAGGAUUAGAUACCCUGGUAGUCACGCUGUAAACGAUGUCGAUUUUGGAGGUUGUGCCCUUGAGGCGUGGCUUCCGG
Molecule: ribosomal RNA, 502 nt
Filed under: uncultured bacterium
Lineage: Bacteria
Description: partial 16S ribosomal RNA
Rfam family: Bacterial small subunit ribosomal RNA
Source: RNAcentral